UUACCAAAAUAUUUUAGGACUCCUUAAUUUUAAAUAUUAUAAAAAUAAAUAAUAAUUAAAGAAAAUAAGUGAAAAGACAAUUUUGUUUAUUAUAGGGUCUUUUAAUGAAGGACAAAAAGUUCAAAUCACUUUUCGAGAAUCUUCACACUUUUAAUAUAUUAUAAAUAUAGAUUAUAGAUUAUAAAUUAUUGAUAAUAAUUUUAAUCUUAUAGUAUAUAAUGUAAUUUAACGAUGGAGG
This 238-nucleotide long non-coding RNA is filed under the name Capsicum annuum. Its description in RNAcentral is "long non-coding RNA (CANN_LNC021272)". The record is from RNAcentral. Lineage: Eukaryota; Viridiplantae; Streptophyta; Magnoliopsida; Solanales; Solanaceae.